UUAUGGUCAUACCACGUUGAAACACCGACUCUCGUAUGAUCACCGACAUUAAGCAACGUCAAGCCUGAUCGGUAUCUAGAUGGCUGACUGCUUGGGAAGACCAGGUGCUGUAAG
This is a non-coding RNA of Acanthosepion pharaonis, 114 nucleotides long. The record is from the annotation of a GenBank genome assembly. NCBI's taxonomy places the organism in Eukaryota, Metazoa, Mollusca, Cephalopoda, Sepiida, Sepiidae.